CCACAAGAACAAGGUUCAUGUAGAUCCAGUGCAUUGAAGGGAUAAAAUUAUUACUCACACCGUUUAAUUCAACGAUUCUCCCUCUCUCUCUCUAAAAUUCUUGAUGAUGGUUUGAGAUACAGUGCAAUGUAUAUAUUUGCUGGAACUAUGGUUUGCGAUACAUAUAUUUGUUAAUUUCUUUAGAAAUCUCGUAGUUUCUUAGUGUUUGCUUUUCUGGGUUUGUUUAAUUUUGAUUUGUGGAGCACUGAGUCAUCUCUUUAGUUGCUAACUUUUUGAUGUUGCUUUCCUAGCCUUUUUCACUUUGUCGUCUGUUGGGUUCUCUUUUUUCUUUAUGAUGCUAUCGAUGGAGCUACAAUGGUGGAUUGUUCAUUAUUUUCUUACAAAGGUUUGAAUUAGAUUACUCAUGUGAUUCUCUAAUCUCAUGCUUCUUGUGACCUUCUUUUCUUGAGUUCUUUGUUGAAGUAUGAGAAGAAUUUGAAACCGCUGGUAAUAAAGAUUUUCCAGAGAAGAGCAAUCAUAGCAGCGCAGAUGAUUUCUUUGAUGAGAUUUGCAGGUUUAGAUACAUGAAUCGCCAUAUAGGUUGAAUGGGUAUAAGAUGAAGGUGAUAAAAGUAGACCAUGAAGCUCGUGGCGUCGACACUUCUGAAGAUGUUGAAAAGAUAGAAUCUUACAUGCGCGAGAGGAACCUUUCUUAGUCCAGAGCAACAUCUCCUAAUACAAAGGGAUUUGUUUCUGGAUUUGAGAAUUAGUUUUUGGGAGCUUGUGUAUAUUCUGCUUUCCAAAAAUAUUGUGCAAAUUGUUUUGUGGACAUAAAUAUUGGCAGCUUGUGUGGUUAAACAUGGCUAGAUUGUGUAUGCUGUUUGUGGCCAAUUGUGUAUACCAUCCAUGUAUAUAAAUGUUGUGGAUUGUGUCCAGAUGUAUGUUUGUGGAUGGUUUUGUGU
This is a long non-coding RNA of Carya illinoinensis, 940 nucleotides long. RefSeq lists it as uncharacterized. NCBI's taxonomy places the organism in Eukaryota, Viridiplantae, Streptophyta, Magnoliopsida, Fagales, Juglandaceae. The transcript is spliced from 2 exons. The record is from RefSeq and is a predicted model, not a curated record.